GCUGUAGCAGCCGGCGGCGGGGGCAGGAGUCAGCCCGCUUCCGACUGUACCCCGCCCGCCUCCCGGGGCUCCUAUUCUUUGGCCCCGGGACCCUAACCUCAUCCCGGGGCGGUUCCCUCCGGGCGUCCGAGUGCUGCCCACCUCUCCUUCUUCAUUCCUCCCUGCACCUCCUUACCUUCACUUUGCCCCGGUUCUCUUUCUCCUCUCUGUGUCCUGCCCUGUCGCCUCCUCUCCUCACUCUAUCCCUCCUGCCUCCUUCCCUGGCUCGUUCUACCCAGGAAAGUUUAGUUGCCAUCCCCCCCUACCCCCCACCAUCAGGUCAACCUGACUAGUAAGCUAGGAGUAGGGGGAGAUGUAGGAAGGCCUGAGAGUUCGAGGCGGGGGGGAAGUUGUUUUCCCUGAAAAAUUCCCCCAUCUUUUUAAUUUCGGGUGGUUGCAGUUUUUUAAGAUCGUGUUUUUGAGGAGGUGGUAGGUGUUCAGAAAAGGAUGUGGGAAUGGAAGGGGUAGAUGAGUCAACCCUGUUACAAGAUUCCAAGGGUGGUGUGUUACCUGAUCCUUUUCGUGUGUGGAGUUCAGGGGGUCGGGAGGUUUGGCCUUUAUUCCCACAUUCAAAGUUGGAACCCCCCCCAAAUUAAGAAUGGAGUUUUAGUAUCCACUUGUGGCUGGAAUCCUGGGGGGAAGGGGACCUUUUUUCCUUUUUCUUUUUUGUUUUCUUUUAUUUUUUUGGCAACCCACACCCUUCCACACACACCCCAAAAUUAAACACCAAGAUCCUCUAACUUGUGUGGAUUGACUGAUGAAGACAUAAAGCCAGUUUCCGCUCUAUGUUUUUUGAGGUGGAGUGAGUGGUUUUCUUCAUUUUUAAAUGGCCAAAUGACAGCUUGACCCAGUUUGCUUUCCAAUCAAAGGGCAUUUUUUGAAUGUCUCUUUGUGGCACAAGAGCCAACGCAAAAAUGAUGGCGGCUUACAAUGGCGGUACAUCUGCAGCAGCAGCAGGUCACCACCACCACCAUCACCACCACCUUCCACACCUCCCUCCUCCUCACCUUCACCACCACCACCACCCUCAACACCAUCUUCAUCCGGGGUCGGCUGCUGCUGUACACCCUGUACAGCAGCAUACCUCUUCGGCAGCUGCGGCAGCCGCAGCAGCGGCCGCAGCUGCAGCCAUGUUAAACCCUGGGCAACAACAGUCAUAUUUCCCAUCACCGGCACCGGGUCAGGCUCCUGGACCAGCUGCAGCAGCCCCAGCUCAGGUACAGGCUGCCACAGCUGCUACAGUUAAGGCUCACCAUCAUCAGCACUCGCAUCAUCCACAACAGCAGCUGGAUAUUGAGCCGGAUAGACCUAUUGGAUAUGGAGCUUUUGGUGUUGUCUGGUCAGUAACAGAUCCAAGAGAUGGAAAGAGAGUAGCACUCAAAAAGAUGCCCAACGUCUUCCAGAAUCUGGUCUCUUGCAAAAGGGUCUUCCGGGAAUUGAAGAUGUUGUGUUUUUUUAAACAUGAUAAUGUACUCUCUGCCCUUGACAUACUCCAGCCUCCACACAUUGACUAUUUUGAAGAAAUAUAUGUUGUCACAGAAUUGAUGCAGAGUGACCUACAUAAAAUUAUCGUCUCUCCUCAACCACUCAGCUCAGAUCAUGUCAAAGUUUUUCUUUAUCAGAUUUUACGAGGUUUGAAAUAUCUCCAUUCAGCUGGCAUUUUACAUCGAGACAUUAAGCCAGGGAAUCUCCUUGUGAACAGCAACUGUGUUCUAAAGAUUUGUGAUUUUGGAUUGGCCAGAGUGGAAGAAUUAGAUGAAUCUCGUCAUAUGACUCAGGAAGUUGUUACUCAGUAUUAUCGGGCUCCAGAAAUCCUGAUGGGCAGCCGUCAUUACAGCAAUGCUAUUGACAUCUGGUCUGUCGGCUGUAUUUUUGCAGAACUACUAGGACGAAGAAUAUUGUUUCAGGCACAGAGUCCCAUUCAGCAGUUGGAUUUGAUCACGGAUCUGUUGGGCACACCAUCACUGGAAGCAAUGAGGACGGCUUGUGAAGGCGCUAAGGCACACAUACUCAGGGGUCCUCAUAAACAGCCAUCUCUUCCUGUACUUUAUACCCUGUCCAGCCAGGCUACACAUGAAGCUGUUCAUCUCCUUUGCAGGAUGUUGGUCUUUGAUCCAUCCAAAAGAAUAUCCGCUAAGGAUGCCUUAGCCCACCCCUACCUAGAUGAAGGGCGACUUCGAUAUCACACAUGUAUGUGUAAAUGUUGCUUUUCCACCUCUACUGGAAGAGUUUAUACCAGUGACUUUGAGCCCGUCACCAAUCCCAAAUUUGAUGACACUUUUGAGAAGAACCUCAGUUCUGUUCGACAGGUGAAAGAAAUUAUUCACCAGUUCAUUCUGGAACAGCAGAAAGGAAACAGAGUGCCUCUCUGCAUCAACCCUCAGUCUGCUGCUUUUAAGAGCUUUAUUAGUUCCACUGUUGCUCAGCCGUCUGAGAUGCCCCCAUCUCCUCUGGUAUGGGAGUGACUGUGGAAGAUAAUGUACUACUGAAGAUGUAAUGUAGCUUUCCACUGGAGUCUGGGAUUUGCAAUUCUGGAGUUCAAUGUGGAGACUUGAAACUUGAAUGUCCCUUCCAACUUUUAUAUUAAAAAAAAAAAAAGACAAAAUUGAAGAUCGUUUUUCACCUGUACAAGGAAUACUAAUGGAUCGUCUUAAAAUUGGUCUAGGAAAAAACCUUGGUGUGUGUUAUGGACAAUUAACUGUUUAAAGUUAUUGUAAGUUAUCUGUAUUUAGCAGAGAUUUUCAUCUUGAGUGAUCUGAGCUGAAUUUGAAGACUAUUAAUAAGUUAUGUCUGGAAGUUUUAACUUCAAUGAAGUAAUUAUUUGCUGUGAAAGAAACAAACAUUGAAUUACUAAACAAAGAUGGUGCAAUAUCUUUGUUUUUUUUUAUGAGGCUCCUGAGAAUCAACCCAACUGAAGCAUUUCAAUUCACUUGAAUGAGAAACGUGUUUAGUAUCAAAAGAGCCCAAGAAGACACUGGUGUGAAAGGUACAAUCUCAGAGGUUGGUCAAUUACCGUGGCACACUUACUGGUCACUUUGUACAAUGUAGAUUUGAAGUACAGUGGUGAAAACAUUAAAUGUGACAUUUGAAAAAGAGGUGUCAUCUGUGCUGUGUUAUUUCAAUUCCUUUCCUUUGUUUCCUCUUCAGUACAGCUUGUUUCCUGACUUGGCAGUGUUUUGAGACAUUUCCCUAUUUAUAUUUCCAUUUUGAUAUUGGAGGAAACUAGUUUUAUAUUUUUUUAAAAAAUCUCUGCAGAAACUUUAGAUUGCCAAAAAACGGAUUGAAAACUUAGUUUAACUGAUAUCAAAGAUAGUGUGAUUUGUAUAUACAAUUCGGAAGUCUUUCUAGACCUCAGCAUUUCUGAUCCAGUCAGAUGUUUUCUUUUUUUUUUUUUUACGCAGAGAACCCUGUUUUCAAAAAUGUAGAAUUUCUAAAGCUAGCAUGGACAAGUCAGGACUGUAAUCAGCUACAAUUUGUUUGCAGUUUAAUUUCAGUAUAAAGUACGUAAUAAUACAUUAAGAGCUCAGAAAAUGAAGACAACUUCUUGUAGUGGCUCAUCUGGUUUGGAAUUAAGUUUUAUUUUGUUUUUCCUUUAUGGUAUGCCAUUUAAAAUAGUACUUUUAUGUUAAGAUAAAACUAUAUUGAAGAACAAAAUGUAAAGUUUGCAUCAGUUUUGAAGUUAAGACAGCUUUUAUAGGGGCUGUUUCCUACCAUGCUGCCAGAUCUCUGGGGGAAUUAAUUAACUCUCCUAAAAGAACAGUGUUUAUCAAAUGCCAGGUCAUGUAUUAAACUCUUUAGGAAUAUCCCCAUCUCCUGUGGAAGAGGCACUUUAGUGGUAAAGCCUGAAUAGCACCGCGGUAAGUGGACACUUAAGAGUCUACUCUGCAGUACGCCACUCGCCGCUUCUCCUUAACCCUGUGGUGACCCAAUUAUUUUCUGCUUUGAGUGUUUUGUUGAUACCAUGUCUUUUCAUUAAUGGAAGCAUGCUGAAUCAUUGGGUGUGUCUGCAUUUUUAGUAGGUAUUAUGGAUUUUUUGUUGUUGUUGUUGCCCCUCCUACAAGCCUACCCUAAGUGUUUAAUGGUACACGUGAAGUACCACUAGUUAUACCCAGGAGUCCCCACUGGGGUCUGUUGGUACAUAUGUGUAACAAAAAUUUUCAAAAUUUCUAUUUUUUUCCUACCAAAAAUUCAGGCACCUCAUAUAAUACCUGUGAAAACAGUAGUUUGUAGCACAUACCUGUUUCUUCGGUUUCAAACAGUCAUAAAGG
Molecule: RNA transcript, 4307 nt
Organism: Trichechus manatus latirostris (Florida manatee)
Lineage: Eukaryota; Metazoa; Chordata; Mammalia; Sirenia; Trichechidae
Gene: NLK
Gene name: nemo like kinase
Exons: 12
Source: RefSeq, a predicted model, not a curated record